AUGAAGAGUUGAACCCACGCGGCAUUGGUGGCGAGAGCCUGCCCAGCAGUGGCGGGCGCUGA
RNAcentral lists this small nucleolar RNA (62 nucleotides) under Pyrobaculum calidifontis JCM 11548. RNAcentral describes it as "PCAsR37". Lineage: Archaea; Thermoproteati; Thermoproteota; Thermoprotei; Thermoproteales; Thermoproteaceae. The record is from RNAcentral.